This 170-nucleotide unclassified non-coding RNA is filed under the name Oryza sativa (Asian cultivated rice). Its description in RNAcentral is "partial microRNA MIR455b-13 precursor". Lineage: Eukaryota; Viridiplantae; Streptophyta; Magnoliopsida; Poales; Poaceae. The record is from RNAcentral.
GUUGAGUUUUUGUACUUCUUCCGUUUCAUAAUGUAAGUCAUUCUAGCAUUUCCCAUAUUCAUAUUGAUGUUAAUGAAUCUAUACCUAUAUAGAUUCAUUAACAUCAAUAUGAAUGUGGGAAAUGCUAGAAUGACUUACAUUGUGAAACGAAGGGAGUGGUAAAUAAAGCA